CUUCAGUCCCUCUGCAGCUGAUAGACUGGGAAGCCGGAGGUUGCAAUCCAGACUUUUCUUUAUCCUGUAAAGUAGCCCACCUGCAGGAGUGCAUUCAACUGGGUUUCCAUCACUUGCAAUCAAGAGACCUGAUGAAUGCAGCUGUCACAGAGCUGGAGCUUGGGUGUCCUAGGAAGUGUUGAUGGAACUAAACCCUCCCUUGGAAGGACAUGAUGGAAACUCAACAGCCAACUUGACAGUCAGGAACUGCAUAGUCUCCUCUGAAUGAUUUAUGAUUACAUCAGUGAUGAGAGUCUGGGUAAGCCCUAAUCCCCGCUCACUAGGGUGCAAUGUACGUGGCAGGUCCUGGCUCCAUCUUUUAGCAAACAUCGUUCCAGAGAGCUAGAGCCCACACCUAACAAGAAAUGGCCAACUUCAGCCUCUCAGAAUCCAGGCUCUCCAGGGGAAGGAGGGGCUGCUGCAGCACCCGCCCUCCGUCUGUGAUGUCUCCCUCACAUGGGCUGCUUCGGGCUUCCUCCUGCCCGGUUCUGGCUGGGCAGUGAUAAUGAUGGCGUUGCGCUCCGCUCAGGCCUCCUCUGGAGUGCUUGCAGUGACUCCCUUCCCUGAACAGAAAUGUCAGGCUGUGCCUGCUGCAAGGCUUGCCCUUCUACCCACUUCAGUCUGUAGAAAUCCUAUUCCUCUCCAAGGCAUAGGGCCAGUCCCAUCUCCCUCACAAAGCCCCUCCUUAUGCCUUAACCAGAUGCGAUUUUUUUUUUUAAACCCCUUUCCCCAGAAUCACAUCUUGUGAUUGACUUGAAGGUUAGCUCCAAUAGCAGCUCCUAUGAACACAUCCACCCUCCAAGAAGACUUCAUCUCUCUUCCUCCAGGCCUGCAAUAUGCAGUUCCUAGAAUGUAACCAGGAUGAGCUGUGAAAGUGUCAGUUUUUUCUACCAGGGCACCAGAACUCAGGACACCCUGACUUUGCCUAAUCAGUGACCUCCCAGGACUGAGAUGACAACCCGUGUUUUCCAGAAUGAUGGUUGAUGCCUCGUCUGUGUCUCUUCUCUGAAUUUAUCUAACAUGCCUGGGAUUAGAGUCAUGGAAGUAGUUCCAGGAAUACGAUCAAGCCCAGGGCUCCUUGUACCCCCCUGCCCCAGGCACCAGGGACUUCCAUGUCCUCUCCAGCAUUGUUGCUGUUGAAACUCCUCCAACACCAAGAAGUUCAACCUUGGGUAAAUAACCUCUCUUCUCUGAGCCUUAAUUUCCUCCACAAUAGGAUGAAUAAGUUGGUCAAAAUCAUCUCUAAAAUCUCUCUUAGCCUAAAAAUCCUCCCAGCAGGUUCUCACAACAGCAAACCUAUGAAUAAUGGUGAACAAAUUCUCGAAUAGUGGAAGCCGAAGCACUGAAACAGGCAAUUAAAGCAGAAAGGAUCGACUGGGUUGAUGAGGAUGUUGACAAUGAUGAUAAUAUUUAUCAUGAUCAUUUAUUGCGUUGCCAUGUUAGGCAUUUUGUAUAUACUUUCUUGGAUCUUCCCAAUAAACCUUUAAGGGGAGUGUAAAACCCAUUUUAUAGAUGAGGAAACUGAGGUUCAGGGAGCUGAUGUGAUUUUUCCCAGUGUCCUACCAGCAAGUGGCUAAGAACCUGGAGCUGGAUCCCCUGGGUCCCCUCUGGUACUCUUCUGGAACAUUCCAGGCAGGCCCAAGUGGCCAGAGCAAGCCCCGCCUGCCUCCCCACUGCCCUCUGCGGCUGUUUUGCAUCCUGCCAGAUUCCUGAGGUGUCAGGCCUCAUUACAGCCCCGUGCCCCAGUGAGUGUGGAGAGGCAGUUGACAGGUAUACAAUCUGACCGUGGCUCCCUUCAAAUCAUCAAGUUGUCUUCAGGCAGGAACACGCCGGGAAGCCAGGCAGAGGCCCCUGGCUUGGCUGCAUAAUCUGAUGCACAUUAAAAACAUCUUUCGGAUGCCUUUUCUUGUUGCAUGCUCAUUCUCACUCUCUGUUUUGUUUUGAUUUUUGUCCUCCAUCCAACAAAAGCUGAUGAAGUACUCAACUCUCUAGGCUGUCUGGUCCAAGCAGGGUCUCACCAACCGAACAGGUAUUCAGGGACUACUGACCUUCUCCGUGUUUGGCUGGCAUCUGGGUGACAGUGCCUGUGGCACAGGGCCACAUCCUAGCAAGGCUGGACAAGAACCCAUACUCUGCCUGUCUGUCCAAUUCCAGGGAGUGAGUUCAAUUUUACCACGACUCUCAACGGAGAGCCUGGACUAAUAAUAAUCGUUGCCGACAUCGAGUGAAUGCUUGAUUUGGGGGCUGAUCCCCUUUUUAUGUUUGGGGAAUUCUCCACCCCAGGAUGAGAGUAGGGAGAGAGAGUCAGCUUUCCACCAAGAAGGGAAGAAAGCUCUCCUGGGGCCUUUGCAACCAGGAAGUGGACAUGUGACCAGAGCCAGCUAAUCCGAUGCUCCUGUCCAAAACUGGACUCCGGCCAGAAGCCAUGGAAAGUUCCGCUCCACAACUACAAGUGUCCUAGAGUGGCCGGGCCACAGAUGGUAGCAACAGGAGUGGGGUGCCUUGGGUUGCAGGUGGCAAACAGGAAGCCUCAUCCGCGGGUUCCACAGCAUGGCUUGGAUUGUGGUUCUGGGCGCUGACUUCUCUCUUGUUCUGGCUUUGUCUGACCCUGGAUUUCCAGCCUUCCUAGAGACAAUGAGCUGUUAUCUUUCUGCUUAAAGCAGCCAAAGGCCACUUUCGUUGUUAAUAACUAAGACCUCUGGCUAGAACCCCUGUGAUCGCUUGUUUAAUUCUCGUAUCAAUCCUUCAGGUAGCUAUUAGCCUCAUGUUACAGACGAGGAAAUUGAAGCACAGAGGGAUUAAGUAAUAGGAAGUCACACAGUAAAAAAUGGCAGGGACAUGGAUUCAAACCCAAGUCUGUGGACUUCAGAGCCUGGGCUCUUAACUACUUCAAGAAAGAGCUUUGGCCGGACGUGGCGGCUCAUGCCUAUAAUCCCAGCUACUCAGAAGGCUGGGGGAGGAGGA
Chlorocebus sabaeus (green monkey) is the source of this 3003-nucleotide long non-coding RNA. RefSeq lists it as uncharacterized. NCBI's taxonomy places the organism in Eukaryota, Metazoa, Chordata, Mammalia, Primates, Cercopithecidae. The record is from RefSeq and is a predicted model, not a curated record.